AGUGAACGCUGGCGGUAGGCCUAACACAUGCCAGUCGAACGGCAGCACAGUAAGAGCUUGCUCUUACGGGUGGCGAGUGGCGGACGGGUGAGGAAUACAUCGGAAUCUACUUUUUCGUGGGGGAUAACGUAGGGAAACUUACGCUAAUACCGCAUACGACCUACGGGUGAAAGCAGGGGAUCUUCGGACCUUGCGCGAUUGAAUGAGCCGAUGUCGGAUUAGCUAGUUGGCGGGGUAAAGGCCCACCAAGGCGACGAUCCGUAGCUGGUCUGAGAGGAUGAUCAGCCACACUGGAACUGAGACACGGUCCAGACCCCUACGGGAGGCAGCAGUGGGGAAUAUUGGACAAUGGGCGCAAGCCUGAUACAGCCAUACCGCGUGGGUGAAGAAGGCCUUCGGGUUGUAAAGCCCUUUUGUUGGGAAAGAAAAGCAGCAGGUUAAUACCCCGCUGUUCUGACGGUACCCAAAGAAUAAGCACCGGCUAACUUCGUG
This 492-nucleotide ribosomal RNA is filed under the name uncultured bacterium. RNAcentral describes it as "partial 16S ribosomal RNA". It matches the Rfam family "Bacterial small subunit ribosomal RNA", at positions 29 to 507 of the family's 1533-position model. The record is from RNAcentral.